GCUUCAGUAGCUCAGUUGGUUAGAGCGUGUGGCUGUUAACCACAAGGUCGGAGAUUCAACCCCUCCCGGGAGCG
RNAcentral lists this transfer RNA (74 nucleotides) under Brassica napus (rape). RNAcentral describes it as "tRNA tRNA-Asn". It matches the Rfam family "tRNA". Rfam says of the family: Transfer RNA (tRNA) molecules are approximately 80 nucleotides in length. Their secondary structure includes four short double-helical elements and three loops (D, anti-codon, and T loops). The record is from Rfam by way of RNAcentral. Lineage: Eukaryota; Viridiplantae; Streptophyta; Magnoliopsida; Brassicales; Brassicaceae. RNAcentral also lists the same sequence under 1 other name.